Sinocyclocheilus grahami is the source of this 520-nucleotide long non-coding RNA. RefSeq lists it as uncharacterized. The record is from RefSeq and is a predicted model, not a curated record. Lineage: Eukaryota; Metazoa; Chordata; Actinopteri; Cypriniformes; Cyprinidae. The transcript has 5 exons.
UUCGCACGUUCUUUCUUCCCACUUCCGUCUUUCUUGUGGAGGUAUGUGGGCUGUUGGACCAUGGAGUUUUCCUAUAGUGCUUCCUCAGAUUUUGAUCAUACUGGAGCCAAAUGGGUAACCUUAAAUUCAUCAGACUUCGUUUCAGAAGUCUUUAACGCUGUAAAACGGGAGGAAUUCUGUAAUUCAAGCGGACCACACAGUGACCCUUGAUGAAUGGCCACAUGUGAAGGUGUUUGAGUGAUUUGUGCUCCUGAAGGCCCUUCAGUGCCAAACCCACGUGGAGCAGAGGAAGUACACGAUGGGUUUUCUCCAAGCAGUCUAGCGUUUACCAGCCAUAGGGGAGGAAAUGCCUUUUUGAGAGCAUUAAAGUUGCUUUUAUUUUGACCUACUAGUGUUCCAACAUGCUGUUUUUGAAGAGGCAUUCAAGUUUGUUCAAUUGUAACUUGUUUGUUCGAUGCAAGUGUAAAGCGUCUGGCAGAUACCUUUUACAUGUUCAAUAAAACUAAGCCAUGAACUGAAA